AGGCAAAACAACAAUCGAUACGGCCUACGACAUACCCCAGCUAAUCAAGUAUCUGGAUAUGAUUAACCUGAUGUCCUAUGAUCUCCAUGGUUCAUUCGAGGACCACACCGGCCACAACAGUCCGCUAAAAGCUGGCCCCAUGGACGUGGGAAAUGACGCUUUGCUGAAUAUGGAAUGGGCUUCCCUGGAGUAUGUAAGAAGAGGUGCACCGAAGAGUAUGCUUAACAUCGGAAUGCCUCUAUACGGUCGCUC
Molecule: long non-coding RNA, 252 nt
Organism: Mizuhopecten yessoensis (Yesso scallop)
Lineage: Eukaryota; Metazoa; Mollusca; Bivalvia; Pectinida; Pectinidae
Exons: 3
Source: RefSeq, a predicted model, not a curated record